This is a long non-coding RNA of Mercenaria mercenaria, 449 nucleotides long. RefSeq lists it as uncharacterized. The record is from RefSeq and is a predicted model, not a curated record. The transcript has 2 exons. Lineage: Eukaryota; Metazoa; Mollusca; Bivalvia; Venerida; Veneridae.
AUUUUCCUGACAAAUGUCAUAUAACGGGAAAUAUUUCUGAAAAUCUAUCAAACAUGUGGCAGUAUCAAAAGAAAUUGGAGGUUCACUUCUUGAGAGCAGGCAGCUACAAAAUGGAAGGUCGAUCAACAAAACAAGUAUACUUGAAAAGCAAGAAAGAAACACCAGAAAAUAUGAAAAGACAGAAGAACAAGGGAACUUGAAUAAAAAAAAAUAACUUUUAAAGAUAGGAAUUCAGGAUUUACUUGGAAACUAAAUUUAUUUUGAGAACAGCAGUGAUUGACUAAGCUCUGUUACUAAGAGAUAAAGUACUAUUAUCACAUUGGUUUUGUUAUGCUCAUAAAACAUACUAAAGUUUCAUUAAUCUUAUUUUAGAUAAUUGUUUUCUGGUUUAUUUUGUAAAGGUUGUCUACUAAUUAACAUAGUUACAUUUAAGUAAAAUUUUCCAUGAA